RNAcentral lists this ribosomal RNA (468 nucleotides) under uncultured bacterium. RNAcentral's name for it is "partial 16S ribosomal RNA". It matches the Rfam family "Bacterial small subunit ribosomal RNA", at positions 28 to 507 of the family's 1533-position model. The record is from RNAcentral.
GACGAACGCUGGCGGCGUGCUUAACACAUGCAAGUCGAACGGAAAGGCCCUGCUUUUGUGGGGUGCUCGAGUGGCGAACGGGUGAGUAACACGUGAGUAACCUGCCCUUGACUUUGGGAUAACUUCAGGAAACUGGGGCUAAUACCGGAUAGGAGCUCCUGCUGCAUGGUGGGGGUUGGAAAGUUUCGGCGGUUGGGGAUGGACUCGCGGCUUAUCAGCUUGUUGGUGGGGUAGUGGCUUACCAAGGCUUUGACGGGUAGCCGGCCUGAGAGGGUGACCGGCCACAUUGGGACUGAGAUACGGCCCAGACUCCUACGGGAGGCAGCAGUGGGAAAUAUUGCACUAUGGGCGGAAGCCUGAUGCAGCAACGCCGCGUGCGGGAUGACGGCCUUCGGGUUGUAAACCGCUUUCGCCUGUGACGAAGCGUGAGUGACGGUAAUGGGUAAAGAAGCACCGGCUAACUACGUG